AUGAGGUGUGGAUAGGGGAGAAAUUCCAAUCGAACCCGGAGAUAGCUGGUUCUCCUCGAAAUAGCUUUAGGGCUAGCCUCAUACAAGUCUUGCGGAGGUAGAGCACUGAAUUCCUACGGGGGCGUCAAAGCUUACCAAGGGAUAUCAAACUCCGAAUGCCGUGUAGAUGAUGUAUGGGAGUCAGACUAUCCGAGAUAAGUUGGGUAGUCGAAAGGGAAAGAGCCCAGACCUGCAGCUAAGGCCCCAAAAUGUGUGUUAAGUGGAAAAGGAUGUGGGAUUUCGAAGACAACUAGGAUGUUGGCUUAGAAGCAGCCAUCCAUUAAAAGAGUGCGUAAUAGCUCACUAGUCGAGAGGUCCUGCGCCGAAAAUGUCCGGGGCUGAAACACACUGCCGAAGCUCAGGAAUCUGCGAAUGCAGGUUGGUAGAGGAGCAUUCUUAAAGAGACGAAGCUGUACCGAAAGGAGCAGUGGAUUUUUAAGAAGAGAGAAUGCCGGAAUGAGUAGCGAGAAAGAGGUGAGAAUCCUCUUGGCCGAAUAUCUAAGGUUUCCAGGGUAAAGCUGAUCUGCCCUGGGUAAGUCGGGGCCUAAGGCGAGGUCGAAAGACGUAGUCGAUGGAUAACAGGUUGAAAUUCCUGUACUAUCCUGUAACAGAACUGUGGGGACGCAGACAGAGAGCACAAGCCGGGAAUGGAAAGACCGGUGCAAGCGAGGUAGGAGUACAUCAGGCAAAUCCGGUGUGCAAUCCGAAGACGUGACGCGGAUCGAAAAGAAGUAGAGAAGUGUGUGAGCUGGCUGCCAAGAAAAGCCGCUAUUGUUUACAGGAUACCCGUACCGUAAACCGACACAGGUGGAUGAGGAGAGAAUCCUAAGGCCGACGGGAGAAGCAUUGUUAAGGAACUCGGCAAAAUGACUCCGUAACUUCGGGAGAAGGAGUGCCAUGUAAAAGUGGCCGCAGAGAAUUGGCCCAAGCAACUGUUUAGCAAAAACACAGGUCUAUGCAAAACCGAAAGGUGAGGUAUAUGGGCUGACGCCUGCCCGGUGCUGGAAGGUUAAGGGGAGAGGUUAGCGCAAGCGAAGCUUUGAACUUAAGCCCCAGUAAACGGCGGCCGUAACUAUAACGGUCCUAAGGUAGCGAAAUUCCUUGUCGGGUAAGUUCCGACCCGCACGAAAGGCGUAAUGAUUUGGGCACUGUCUCAACAAUGCACCCGGUGAAAUUGAAAUACCAGUGAAGAUGCUGGUUACCUGCGCCAGGACGGAAAGACCCCAUGGAGCUUUACUCCAGCUUGAUACUGGGAUUCGGUACUGCAUGUACAGGAUAGGUGGGAGACUGAGAAAGAAGGACGCCAGUCCUUUUGGAGUCACUGUUGGGAUACCACCCUUGCAGUAUUGGAUUUCUAACCAACAGCCAUGAUCUGGUUGGGGGACAAUGUCAGGUGGGGAGUUUGACUGGGGCGGUCGCCUCCGAAAGGGUAUCGGAGGCGCUCAAAGGU
RNAcentral lists this ribosomal RNA (1489 nucleotides) under human gut metagenome. RNAcentral describes it as "bacterial LSU rRNA". It matches the Rfam family "Bacterial large subunit ribosomal RNA", at positions 804 to 2317 of the family's 2925-position model. The record is from RNAcentral.